This 255-nucleotide ribosomal RNA is filed under the name uncultured Actinomycetes bacterium. RNAcentral describes it as "uncultured actinobacterium partial 16S ribosomal RNA". It matches the Rfam family "Bacterial small subunit ribosomal RNA", at positions 28 to 276 of the family's 1533-position model. The record is from RNAcentral. Lineage: Bacteria; Bacillati; Actinomycetota; Actinomycetes.
GACGAACGCUGGCGGCGUGCUUAACACAUGCAAGUGGAGCGACGAACCAGGCUUCGGCCUGGGGCAAAGCCGCGAACGGGUGAGUAUCACGUGGGUAACGUGCCCCGAUGACCGGGACAACCCGAGGAAACUCGGGCUAAUACCGGAUGUGCUGUGUGGCCCCAAGGCCACUCAGUAAAGGAAGCUUCGGCCUCCGCAUUGGGAGCGGCCCGCGGCCCAUUAGCUUGUUGGUGAGGUAAAGGCUCACCAAGGCGA